UCCCGUUCCCGUUUCCACCAAAAAGUCCGCGGCAAAGAGAAUAUAAAUAAAUCUGUAUGUUGGAUGGAAAAACAAUUAAUUAAAAAUGACUACUAUUUAGGCCGGCAAAUGCAACAACUUUUUUUUGAUUUGGUUUUCCCCGAAGGGUAAGGCAAAGGGAACUAUGCCCAUACAGCCAUUUCAUUUUAUGUAUUGAUUUUUUAUUAUAAUAUAUGUCCUCUUUUAAAACACGGUACUUACCCAUUAUUUAAAAAUGUUUAAAUAAUAUGCGUUAAAACAAAAAUAUUUUUCCAAUAUUCCUUUUCUCAGAUUGUAGUAUUUUUAGUUUUUUAUUUAUAUUUAUUCUCUUCAUACAAAAUCUCUUUAUAAAUUGUCACUGACAUUCUAUUACACUUGUCAAGUAGUCAAAGCCUUUAGAGAAAAAAAAAACUAUCACGCACACAAACUAACAUUGACACCUCUACACGCUCAGCAAAUACACUGUAAUCUGCACCACUACAAAUGUAGAAUUGAUCAAAAUUGAGGGUCUGAAAUAUGGUACUUCUCGUAUUCGGACCCUAAAUUUUUGUUAGUUUGCGAAAAUCAUACACCAAAAUAUUACUAUUUAUCGGUUUUAUAACAAUAUUCCUCUAUCCGUUUUCCUGUAGCACUGCAUCAACUUUUGUAUGGAAAACGAAUCACCUUAACAACAGAGCUGCUGUCCUUUACUUACGAUAAGUGAAAGAAAGAGAUAGAGUUAGUUCUGGAACUGACAAAGUAAAUUAAGUUCGUGUCUUUCAGAAUCGACUCCAUUAAAGUGAAGCCAUAUUUGUCAGCACCUCAUAAAACUUUCCUAUACUUCUAUCCUUUUCUGUUACUCAGAGCUCUCUCGCUCUAGCAAAUGACGGUUCUGAGUACCAGACAAGAAUAGAAACAUAGGAAAGUGCUGUGAGGUGUGCCAGAUGUGGUUUCGCAGGAAAGAUUAUUUUUGUUCCCGCUUUUUCUUCGUUUUACGUUCCUUCACGCAUUAGUUCUUCACAUUUUAGUCUUAUCGUGUGAAAAGGCGUAAAUUUGUACUUCCAAAUGCAUUUUUUACACGAAAUUCAUCUUUGAAAUCAGUUACAUAUCGUAUAAAUGAUAUGGGCUGGUGGCUUUUGAACCCUACAAAUUAGUAUUAAGUUAAUAUAGGUUCUAUAUUGUGUAUCAUUUUAUAAUAUUUUAAAUGUGUUUUUGUAAUAUUUGUAUCAAUUUAUGUUUAUUACAGACUGCUUUGACUUUAUGACUUUAAAAUUAGAUAUUAAUUAUUAGUUCGUGACUAACUUGAAUUGUGUGAAAUUAUUAGUUAGUUUAGUUUCCGUCCAAAAAUGAUCUUUCUUUACUUAUUUUAUGUAAUUGUGAUUAGUUUUUUUGAUGAAUCAUGAGAGGUUUUUUUAAAGAGCAUCUUGAAAUCAAGCCAUUAUAUUUAGGUCACAGUCCUUUUCGAGUUGUGGUAAGCUUGUGUUACUUUGUAAGUAUUAUUAUCACAGUUGCUUUUCUUUAAAAAAAAACAUAUAGAUUGCAUAAUCGUGACUCUUGCGAUCCUUAAGCGCUUUCAUAGGACACCAGUAUGCUAAUACCAGUACACACAAUUUUAUUUUAAAUUAUAUCUGUCAUUUUCUUAUCCGCCGAAAAGGAAAGGGACGGGUAAUCGACUGCCAUAAACUUUAUGGUACACACGUCAAUUUUAGUCAGGAAUUUAAAACACCCUCCCUAAAUUUUAUAUUGGCCAAAAACCCGACAGAAUUAAGUUGACAGGACACACGUCAAACAGGUUGCAUAUCAGAGAAAUGCAUUAUUUAUUCGUCCGGGUUAUUCGUUCAUUUUAAAAUUAACAGUUGUCAAUUUGUCCCUUUCAUUUUCGCCGGAUAAGAAAAUGACGGGUAUAACUUAAAAUAAAAUUAGGAGGUGUCUACAGGAAUCGGGGUCACUAUAUUACAAAUUAUAAAAAAAAACAACUGUGGUAAAAAUAUCAGAUGUGACGUGUUAAAUAACACCAUGAAAAAAAUAAUAAUACAUUUUUUAUGUUAUUAGGUAUCUGAAUUGUUAUUCGGUCGCAAUAUGCACAUUAUUUUGAACACUAUAAAAACUCCUUGUGACUAAUGCAUAGCAAUUACAUUCUUAUGCUUCAUUGCUAUUAUUUUCAAUGUCCUUACAUAAAUAUUGUAACGAUGCUUGUGUCUUUCUAUAGACUAUAAUAUUAGACCAGUAUCUGACCCCAUUUCUUUUUUAUUUCUAUGUUACAUCACAGCGAAUUCUUUUCAGGGACAAAUAUAAAGACAUGAAUUAUCCGUCAACUGUAAAAAAAUGUAUUAAGUAUUGUACUUAUCUACCUAUUAUCUGUUUUCUUUGAAUGUUCCUUGUGUCGGUUUUAUUGUGUACAAAUAAAUAAAUAAAUAAUAAUACACAACUUCGGUCACAAGCUCUCACUAAGAAAUACAUGUGAUAAAAACAUCGGCUUAGAUAAUACCACGGAAUGGAAGAAAGAAAAGAAAGCCCCUUACGCGCAUUUUGUAUGAGACCCUCUGUCGCCGGUUCAACUCCACUCUCUUUUACUACCACUCCUGCAAACAGAUAACUUUGAUAGAAUAGAAUUGACAUAGUUUAUUAUAAAAGGACACACAAAACAAGACAAUACAUCAUUUAAAAUUCUCACAAAACAAUUACAAAAAAGCAAAACGAAUGUCCGUCGAAAUGAUCAUAAGGUGGUGGUGGACGUCCUGAGAAAAAAGACCUCACUCAGCACAAGUCGCGGCGUGAACCACGACGCUGGUAUUAUAUGGACCCUGCUGGGUUAGGCACUCUUAACUCUACUGUUUCUCAAAAUCCAUUGCCACUUUACCGGGAAUGUAUAUGUUAAGUGAUAGGCUGCAAUUUUAUCAUUACUUGUCGUAACAUACUGUAUGCAAAAGUAUUUUUUCGACAAUUAGCCGAUAUUAUUAAGGUUUUAGCUUUCCUGUGAUAAGGAUGGGAUCUCCUUGCGUGAUAGUCGAUAUUUGUUUUAUUUACCUGCAGGUUAUAAUGCACUAGACAACUUUUUAAUGUACAGUCAUGAGCAAGUCAUGUACCCAUUUUAGAACCCUGUCGCGCUAUCAUAUUUGAUAUUUAAUGAGAGUUACGGUUUAAUUUGUCAAAAAAGUUAAUGUGACAUGGUUUCAAAGUGUAUACAAUAUUAGUACUCGUGACCGUCCUAUCGUGGAGCUCCGCGUGUCGUAAAUUUGCGUACGAGGAGAGUAAAAGUUGACGCAUGGACUGUUUGCUCAUACUUGUAUGGCGCGCUUUUUGCGUCCCUUCCAAUCUCUUUCCUCUAUUCCGUGGAUAAUACAAUGGUGUUAUUUACCGUCAUAGUUUCGUUUGUCAUACGGUAAGGUGCGGUGCCUUAUGUAGGAGCGAGGCACGUAUUGUAGUUCACAGACACGUAGUGUGUUGAUAUUAGAGUUUUUAUUUUACUACUUCGAUAUCACGAAUAAAUUUUCCACAAAUACAUUA
Pectinophora gossypiella (pink bollworm) is the source of this 3504-nucleotide long non-coding RNA. RefSeq lists it as uncharacterized. The record is from RefSeq and is a predicted model, not a curated record. Lineage: Eukaryota; Metazoa; Arthropoda; Insecta; Lepidoptera; Gelechiidae. The transcript has 2 exons.